UGGGGAAUAUUGCACAAUGGGCGGAAGCCUGAUGCAGCGACGCCGCGUGAGGGAUGACGGCCUUCGGGUUGUAAACCUCUUUCAGUAGGGACGAAGCGUAAGUGACGGUACCUGCAGAAGAAGCACCGGCUAACUACGUGCCAGCAGCCGCGGUAAUACGUAGGGUGCGAGCGUUGUCCGGAAUUACUGGGCGUAAAGAGCUCGUAGGCGGUUUGUCACGUCGUCUGUGAAAUCCUAGGGCUUAACCCUGGACGUGCAGGCGAUACGGGCUGACUUGAGUACUACAGGGGAGACUGGAAUUUCUGGUGUAGCGGUGGAAUGCACAGAUAUCAGGAAGAACACCGAUGGCGAAGGCAGGUCUCUGGGUAGUAACUGACGCUGAGGAGCGAAAGCAUGGGUAGCAAACAGG
This 409-nucleotide ribosomal RNA is filed under the name Verrucomicrobiota bacterium. RNAcentral's name for it is "Verrucomicrobia bacterium partial 16S ribosomal RNA". It matches the Rfam family "Bacterial small subunit ribosomal RNA", at positions 355 to 776 of the family's 1533-position model. The record is from RNAcentral. Lineage: Bacteria; Pseudomonadati; Verrucomicrobiota.